Molecule: transfer-messenger RNA, 119 nt
Filed under: Ignavibacteriales bacterium
Lineage: Bacteria; Pseudomonadati; Ignavibacteriota; Ignavibacteria; Ignavibacteriales
Description: partial transfer-messenger RNA
Rfam family: transfer-messenger RNA
About the family: Bacterial tmRNA, also known as 10Sa RNA or SsrA, is named for its dual tRNA and mRNA-like properties. Its role is to liberate the mRNA from a stalled ribosome.
Source: RNAcentral
GGGGGUGAAUUUUGGUUUCGACGGGAUUAACGAGACUUAGAACUGCAUACCGUGUUCCCCGAAUACACGUAAAUGAAUUGGGAAAAAACAAUAAAUGGCGAAUCUAAUUACGCCCUUGC